ACGGUCCAGACUCCUACGGGAGGCAGCAGUAGGGAAUCUUCCGCAAUGGGCGAAAGCCUGACGGAGCAACGCCGCGUGAGUGAUGAAGGUCUUCGGAUCGUAAAACUCUGUUAUUAGGGAAGAACAUAUGUGUAAGUAACUGUGCACAUCUUGACGGUACCUAAUCAGAAAGCCACGGCUAACUACGUGCCAGCAGCCGCGGUAAUACGUAGGUGGCAAGCGUUAUCCGGAAUUAUUGGGCGUAAAGCGCGCGUAGGCGGUUUUUUAAGUCUGAUGUGAAAGCCCACGGCUCAACCGUGGAGGGUCAUUGGAAACUGGAAAACUUGAGUGCAGAAGAGGAAAGUGGAAUUCCAUGUGUAGCGGUGAAAUGCGCAGAGAUAUGGAGGAACACCAGUGGCGAAGGCGACUUUCUGGUCUGUAACUGACGCUGAUGUGCGAAAGCGUGGGGAUCAAACAGGAUUAGAUACCCUGGUAGUCCACGCCGUAAACGAUGAGUGCUAAGUGUUAGGGGGUUUCCGCCCCUUAGUGCUGCAGCUAACGCAUUAAGCACUCCGCCUGGGGAGUACGACCGCAAGGUUGAAACUCAAAGGAAUU
RNAcentral lists this ribosomal RNA (594 nucleotides) under Staphylococcus aureus. RNAcentral's name for it is "bacterial SSU rRNA". It matches the Rfam family "Bacterial small subunit ribosomal RNA", at positions 326 to 911 of the family's 1533-position model. The record is from RNAcentral. Lineage: Bacteria; Bacillati; Bacillota; Bacilli; Caryophanales; Staphylococcaceae.